Long non-coding RNA from Oreochromis aureus, 1034 nucleotides. RefSeq lists it as uncharacterized. The transcript is spliced from 2 exons. Lineage: Eukaryota; Metazoa; Chordata; Actinopteri; Cichliformes; Cichlidae. The record is from RefSeq and is a predicted model, not a curated record.
AUUCCAAUAUUUCCAAUUAUGACCCAUAUAUUAUUAUCCCAUUUUGGAAUUGUCAAGCAACCUUUUAUUUGCCUUUGGGGAAUUAUUAGACUCCAUGCACCACUGGCAUUCCUAUAGGUUGCUCAUCCAAAAUGGAGUGGGAGAAGCUCAAAGGAAAAGUAUACAGUGUGUUGUGAUAAUGUAGAGGGUGCCAGACAGACACACGGUGAUCAUGUGAGGUCUAUAAACCAGCCUUUCUCUACACUGUCUACAUUUUUUCCUCUUGGUCAGAAAAAUUUCUGUCAUGGUGUUUGUUUCAAUUCCUAUUCUGAUGGCACACAAAUUCAUCGCAUUAUCAAACCCUCCAACCCACUUCCUCCACAAUCACUUGUCAACUGAGUGUAUAAAUGUUUUUAAAAAGGAAUUCAUGUAACCUAAUUAAACUCAACAGUAAUAUAACAGCUCUUGGUUUUGGCCCUCAAGGCUCUGCUCCAGAAGGUUUGAGUUCUACUGAUUGACACAUGUGCCUGCCCCAUCUCACCAUCCUCAGAAGGUUGCAACCUGGGUGUCAUUUUGGAUUUCCCACUUACAUUCCAGGCUCAUAUGAAAUCUGUUACAAAAGCAGCUUCUUUUUUUUUUUACGCCUAAUGAACAUCUCCCUACUUUGGCCACUCAAUGACUUUUGCAAAGAUCCUCAUCAAUGGCUUUCUCACUGCCUGGCUGAAUUUCUAGAGGUAUUUCUUGGGUCCUGUUCAGGAUGUCCAACAAAAUCCUGGACUAACCCAAGUUUGCAGGCUCAAGAAAUGGUGCUGGUUUCUAUAAUUACAAAGAGGUCCUAAUGUACACAGGUCAAGCUUAGGAUGGAGAUUGAGUUCAGGAGACCCCCCACCCCCCCCACAAAAAAAAAAGCAAGAGGAUGCUAUCCUAAAUAUAGCCAUUUGUGGAGCAACAGUGGGUAAAACUGUAAAUGUGCAGAUGCUGUAUCUUUUCUCUGACUGUGUAGCAUGGGAGAAAUAAGACCCACGCAUUAAUAAAUAUCUGAAGUCAACAUGAAA